UCUUAUCAAGAGUGGUAGAGGGACAGGGCCCUGUGAAACCCGGCAACCGGCGUGUUACGCACGGUGCCAAUUCCCCCGCGGAAGUUCCGCGGAAGAUAAGU
RNAcentral lists this non-coding RNA (101 nucleotides) under human gut metagenome. RNAcentral describes it as "SAM riboswitch (S box leader)". It matches the Rfam family "SAM riboswitch aptamer (S box leader)". From Rfam's summary of the family: The SAM riboswitch is found upstream of a number of genes which code for proteins involved in methionine or cysteine biosynthesis in Gram-positive bacteria. The SAM riboswitch acts at the level of transcription termination control. The predicted structure consists of a complex stem-loop region followed by a single stem loop terminator region. The record is from RNAcentral.